CCCGCGUGUUUUCCCCUCCUAGGCGUCCCCGGGACAGCGGAGCGGGCCGGCCGAGCGACCGCAGCACCACUGGAUUAUCUGAGCCGUUAGGCCUUAAUUCAAGGUCUGUCAGACUUUCCUGCAAGGGGAACAAUGAACGCUUCCUAUGUAGCUAUAUACCCAACUCUAAUUUAAAAGAAAAAUCAGGAAAAAGUCUUGGCAUUUAAUUCGGACGCACUAACCAGAUAAAUCCUGAGCAUCAUGGCUUUGUGACCUGGGGUUUCUGCUCAAAAUACUCUAUGGAUGUAUCUUACAACUGCACUUUUUAAUGCCUGUUUCACCUUGUGCCUCCUGUGUUGUCAUCAAGAUCAGAAAUUAAUAAACAUUUUUUAAACCACUGUCA
RNAcentral lists this long non-coding RNA (382 nucleotides) under Crocodylus porosus (Australian saltwater crocodile). RNAcentral describes it as "lncRNA (ENSCPRG00005008544.1)". Lineage: Eukaryota; Metazoa; Chordata; Crocodylia; Crocodylidae. The record is from RNAcentral.